GACAUCAGGUUCUUGAGAAUAUUCACCACUUCAUGAAUUGUCUCGAGUGUUUCAGAAGAAGGUCCCAUGCAAGAGCAGCUGAAUGCAUCAACAAUACCUUUGACCAUUUCUGACCCAAGAUCCCUCAGUCCUUUCCUGAGGAAAGGCAAUGGAUAUUUGGUUGCACCAAGGCUAUUGGACUGUCUGAUGUCAGGUCUGUGUGAACAGAAAGAAGAUCCUCGAGAACAUUCCCACUGGCACUCUGUGGGGGUCAAACUCUGGGGAAGACUUAAUGAAAAUU
Molecule: long non-coding RNA, 280 nt
Organism: Empidonax traillii (willow flycatcher)
Lineage: Eukaryota; Metazoa; Chordata; Aves; Passeriformes; Tyrannidae
Exons: 3
Source: RefSeq, a predicted model, not a curated record